GGGGAAUAUUGGACAAUGGGGGAAACCCUGAUCCAGCCAUGCCGCGUGAAUGAUGAAGGCCUUCGGGUUGUAAAGUUCUUUUGGUGGGGACGAUAAUGACGGUACCCACAGAAUAAGCUCCGGCUAACUUCGUGCCAGCAGCCGCGGUAAUACGAAGGGGGCUAGCGUUGUUCGGAAUUACUGGGCGUAAAGGGCGCGUAGGCGGUUUAACAAGUCAGGUGUGAAAGCCCCGAGCUUAACUCGGGAACUGCGCUUGAGACUGUUAUUCUUGAAUUCGGGAGAGGUGAGUGGAAUUCCCAGUGUAGAGGUGAAAUUCGUAGAUAUUGGGAGGAACACCAGUGGCGAAGGCGGCUCACUGGACCGACAUUGACGCUGAGGCGCGAAAGCGUGGGGAUCAAAC
This 400-nucleotide ribosomal RNA is filed under the name uncultured bacterium. Its description in RNAcentral is "bacterial SSU rRNA". It matches the Rfam family "Bacterial small subunit ribosomal RNA", at positions 356 to 773 of the family's 1533-position model. The record is from RNAcentral.